RNAcentral lists this non-coding RNA (117 nucleotides) under Macaca fascicularis (crab-eating macaque). RNAcentral also lists the same sequence under 2 other names. The record is from Rfam by way of RNAcentral. Lineage: Eukaryota; Metazoa; Chordata; Mammalia; Primates; Cercopithecidae.
GCCGGGUGUGGUGGCUCACGCCUGUAAUUCCAACACUUUGGGAGGCUGAGGCGGGUGGAUCACCUGAGGUCAGGAGUUCAAGACCAGCCUGGUCAACAUGGUGAAACCCCGUCUCUA